CGAGGCCGAAGCGCGCCUGUCGCCCUUCCAGGCCCGUGCGGGGCGAUCCUGCAGCCUCCAGGCGGCGAUCCAGGGCUGCUCGAGGGCUGAGCGGGAGCCCGGAGGCGCGGCCGGCAUGGAGGCGCUGCUGCUGAGCGUGGGGUUGCUGCUGGGCGCCUACGUGCUAGUCUAUUACAACCUGGUGAAGGGGCCGCCGUGCCGCGGCAUCGCCAGCCUGCGGGGCCGCACUGCCGUGGUCACGGGCGCCAAUAGCGGCAUCGGGAAGAUGACGGCGCUGGAGCUGGCGCGCCGGGGAGCGCGCGUGGUUCUAGCCUGCCGGAGCCGGGAGCGCGGGGAGGCGGCCGCCUUCGACCUCCGCCAGGAGAGUGGGAACAAUGAGGUCAUCUUCAUGGCCUUGGACUUGGCCAGUCUGGCCUCCGUGAGGGCCUUUGCCACUGCCUUCCUGAGCUCUGAGCCACGGCUGGACAUCCUCAUCCACAAUGCCGGGAUCAGUUCCUGUGGCCGAACCCGGGAGCCCUUUAACCUGCUGUUGCGAGUGAACCACAUCGGCCCCUUCCUGCUGACACACCUGCUGCUGCCCCGGCUGAAGACAUGCGCCCCCAGCCGCGUGGUGGUGGUAUCCUCAGCCGCCCACCGUCGAGGCCGCCUCGACUUCACACGCCUGGACCGCCCAGUGGUGGGCUGGCGGCAGGAGCUGCGGGCAUAUGCCGACAGUAAGCUGGCCAACGUAUUGUUUGCCAGGGAGCUCGCCACUCAGCUUGAGGGCACUGGCGUCACCUGCUAUGCAGCCCACCCAGGGCCAGUGAACUCGGAGCUGUUCCUGCGCCACGUUCCUGGAUGGCUACGCCCACUUUUGCGCCCAGUGGCUUGGCUGGUGCUGCGGGCACCACGAGGGGGUGCCCAGACACCCCUGUACUGCGCUCUGCAGGAGGGCAUUGAGCCCCUCAGUGGGAGAUACUUUGCCAACUGCCAUGUGGAGGAGGUGCCCCCAGCUGCAAGAGACGACCGGGCAGCUCACCGGCUAUGGGAGGCCAGCAAAAGGCUAGCCGGGCUUGGGCCUGGGGAGGGUGCCGAAUCUGAUGAAGAUCCCCAGCCUGAGGACCCAUCUUCUCCGAGCAGCCCCCACCCUGAGGAGCCCACGGCUGCUGAACUCUACCCCAGCCCUCAGAGUUCACCAGACUUGUCUAAGGUCAUGCGCCGAAUUCUGGUUAAAGCUGAACCUGAGCUCCAAACCUCCUAACCCCCAGGCCGGGAAGCUUUCCAGCGCACUUGGUGGGCCUUGAAAACCUUAGCUGUGUUCCAGGCCACGCACUGGGCAUUGAGAGGGUUGCAAUUUUUACCUCCAUGGUUACUUUCUGGGGCUUCAAGCUACAUCCUGGACAGCUCGUUUCCUGAUGGAAGGAAAUAAAGGGCCCUACCCUCAGGAAUGCUGAUCAGCCCUGGAUGAGGGCCUGGGAAUUUGUAAUCUGAUGCACUGCCAACAUUGAGAAUUACUCAACUGGGCCCUUUUCGACCGUGUAGCUAGGUAGUUACAUUAUCCCCUUUUUCCAGAGGCGGGAUUAGGCAGCCAGGUAAGGGACUCGCCCAAGGUCUCCCAGCUAGUAAGAGCAGGGGCUGAAAUUGGAGCCCCGGAGGGCUGACUCCAGGGCCGGCCGCUGUAAGGUGGGUGCUGGGAGGUGAGAAAGGGCAGGGCGGUUGUUAUCGAGGC
Molecule: RNA transcript, 1708 nt
Organism: Balaenoptera ricei (Rice's whale)
Lineage: Eukaryota; Metazoa; Chordata; Mammalia; Artiodactyla; Balaenopteridae
Gene: DHRS13
Gene name: dehydrogenase/reductase 13
Exons: 6
Source: RefSeq, a predicted model, not a curated record